Molecule: ribosomal RNA, 329 nt
Filed under: uncultured eukaryote
Lineage: Eukaryota
Description: partial 18S ribosomal RNA
Rfam family: Eukaryotic small subunit ribosomal RNA
Source: RNAcentral
CCCUUAGAUGUUCUGGGCCGCACGCGCGCUACACUGACGGAGGCAGCGAGCGUGUCCUUCGCCGGCAGGUGCGGGCAAUCUUGCGAGUCUCCGUCGUGCUGGGGAUAGAUGGUUGCAAUUGUCGAUCUUGAACGAGGAAUUCCUAGUAAGCGCGAGUCAUCAGCUCGCGCUGAUUACGUCCCUGCCCCUUGUACACACCGCCCGUCGCUACUACAGAGUGCCCGUGUCCAAGAAACGGUCGGACCUGUGCGGCCUCUCCGGGCGACCGGAGGGCCGUUACGGGGAAGACCCUUUAUUUGACGCGGGUCGAUGAAGUAAAAGUCGUAACA